UACGUAGGGUGCGAGCGUUGUCCGGAAUUAUUGGGCGGAAAGGGCUCGUAGGCGGUCGGUUGCGUCGGGAGUGAAAACUCAGGGCUUAACCCUGAGCCUGCUUCCGAUACGGGCAGACUAGAGGUAUGCAGGGGAGAACGGAAUUCCUGGUGUAGCGGUGAAAUGCGCAGAUAUCAGGAGGAACACCGGUGGCGAAGGCGGUUCUCUGGGCAUUACCUGACGCUGAGGAGCGAAAGUGUGGGGAGCGAACAGG
RNAcentral lists this ribosomal RNA (253 nucleotides) under uncultured bacterium. RNAcentral's name for it is "partial 16S ribosomal RNA". It matches the Rfam family "Bacterial small subunit ribosomal RNA", at positions 524 to 776 of the family's 1533-position model. The record is from RNAcentral.